This 545-nucleotide long non-coding RNA is filed under the name Mytilus galloprovincialis (Mediterranean mussel). The record is from RNAcentral. Lineage: Eukaryota; Metazoa; Mollusca; Bivalvia; Mytilida; Mytilidae.
GGGCUUAACUAGAUUCUUUUAAAAGUGAGGCAAAAUAUAUUCGCCAUUCGGUGAGGGAUCUGGCGGCCGUUCAAGACCCCCAGAAGCUAUGAAAAAAUAUUACGCAAAAUCGUGAAUCCUGAGAGUUUCGUAUACUCUUAGGAGGCACAAUUAUUUGAGUGUACCUACCCUUGGAACCUCAGGCUCCAAAAACACCAGUCAAGUAAAAGACAUCAGCCAAGUUCAAAACACCAGCCAAGUUAAAAACACCUUCAAAACAGAAGGCUGUAUCAACACCAAAAUCUACUAAGAUUGAGGUAUGCUGCUAAUGGCAGUCAAGAUCAUCAGAUACUUCUUACUCAGUAGUGACAGUCCACCUUCCGCGAAGAAAGCAAAACUUGACAAGAUUUCUUGGUUUAAUGGAAAAAAAGAGUUAUUAACACUUGUGUCGAUCCUGUUAAUAUAUUUAAAACCAGAAUUACAACUAUAGACUCUAUUAGAUUUGCGAAUCUCUUGUAUCAUAUGUCUCUGUUAAAUUACAUCGGCGAAUGUGAAUUCAGUCCGGU